CCAGACUCCUACGGGAGGCAGCAGUGGGGAAUAUUGGACAAUGGGGGCAACCCUGAUCCAGCAAUUCUGUGUGCACGAAGAAGGUUUUCGGAUUGUAAAGUGCUUUCAGCAGGGAAGAAGAGAGUGACGGUACCUGCAGAAGAAGCGACGGCUAAAUACGUGCCAGCAGCCGCGGUAAUACGUAUGUCGCAAGCGUUAUCCGGAAUUAUUGGGCAUAAAGGGCAUCUAGGCGGCCAGGCAAGUCUGGGGUGAAAACCUGCGGCUCAACCGCAGGCCUGCCCUGGAAACUGCGUGGCUAGAGUGCUGGAGAGGUGGACGGAACUGCACGAGUAGAGGUGAAAUUCGUAGAUAUGUGCAGGAAUGCCGAUGAUGAAGAUAGUUCACUGGACGGCAACUGACGCUGAAGUGCGAAAGCCGGGGGAGCGAACAGGAUUAGAUACCCUGGUAGUCCCGGCCGUAAACGAUGAUUACUGGGUGUGGGCAUGAAGAGUGUCCGUGCCGAAGCUAAUGCGAUAAGUAAUCCGCCUGGGGAGUACGGCCGCAAGGCUGAAACUCAUAGGAAUUGACGGGGGCCCGCACAAG
Molecule: ribosomal RNA, 582 nt
Filed under: uncultured bacterium
Lineage: Bacteria
Description: bacterial SSU rRNA
Rfam family: Bacterial small subunit ribosomal RNA
Source: RNAcentral